CGACCGGCGCACGGGUGAGUAACACGUAUCCAACCUGCCGUCUACUCUUGGACAGCCUUCUGAAAGGAAGAUUAAUACAAGAUGGCAUCAUGAGUCCGCAUGUUCACAUGAUUAAAGGUAUUCCGGUAGACGAUGGGGAUGCGUUCCAUUAGGCAGUUGGCGGGGUAACGGCCCACCAAACCGACGAUGGAUAGGGGUUCUGAGAGGAAGGUCCCCCCACAUUGGAACUGAGACACGGUCCAAACUCCUACGGGAGGCAGCAUG
This 264-nucleotide ribosomal RNA is filed under the name uncultured bacterium. Its description in RNAcentral is "partial 16S ribosomal RNA". It matches the Rfam family "Bacterial small subunit ribosomal RNA", at positions 92 to 353 of the family's 1533-position model. The record is from RNAcentral.